UCAGGAUAAACGCUGGCGGCGCACAUAAGACAUGCAAGUCGAACGGAAGCCGUUUUAAUGGAAAAGAAGAUUUAUCGGAAUAGAAGUUAAACAAUGACUUUAGUGGCGGACUGGUGAGUAACGCGUGAGCAACCUGCCUAUUAGAGGGGAAUAACAGUGAGAAAUCAUUGCUAAUACCGCAUAAGCUAGUAGUACCGCAUGGUAUAGCUAGAAAAGGAGAAAUCCGCUAAUAGGAUGGGCUCGCGUCUGAUUAGCUAGUUGGUGUGGUAAAGGCAUACCAAGGCAACGAUCAGUAGCCGAGCUGAGAGGCUCUACGGCCACAUUGGGACUGAGAUACGGCCCAGACUCCUACGGGAGGCAGCAGUCGGGAAUAUUGCGCAAUGGAGGAAACUUCUGACGCAGUGACGCCGCGUAUAGGAAGUAAGGUUUUAGGAUUGUAAACUAUUUUAGACAGGGAAGAGAAAAGACAGUACCUGUAGAAUAAGCUCCGGCUAACUACGUGCCAGCCGCCGC
This 513-nucleotide ribosomal RNA is filed under the name uncultured bacterium. RNAcentral describes it as "bacterial SSU rRNA". It matches the Rfam family "Bacterial small subunit ribosomal RNA", at positions 24 to 518 of the family's 1533-position model. The record is from RNAcentral.